CCCGGGGGCAUUGCCUCAGUAGCGGCGAGUGAAGCGGCAAGAGCUCAGAUUUGAAAUCGUGCUUUGCGGCACGAGUUGUAGAUUGCAGGUUGGAGUCUGUGUGGAAGGCGGUGUCCAAGUCCCUUGGAACAGGGCGCCCAGGAGGGUGAGAGCCCCGUGGGAUGCCGGCGGAAGCAGUGAGGCCCUUCUGACGAGUCGAGUUGUUUGGGAAUGCAGCUCCAAGCGGGUGGUAAAUUCCAUCUAAGGCUAAAUACUGGCGAGAGACCGAUAGCGAACAAGUACUGUGAAGGAAAGAUGAAAAGCACUUUGAAAAGAGAGUGAAACAGCACGUGAAAUUGUUGAAAGGGAAGGGUAUUGCGCCCGACAUGGGGAUUGCGCACCGCUGCCUCUCGUGGGCGGCGCUCUGGGCUUUCCCUGGGCCAGCAUCGGUUCUUGCUGCAGGAGAAGGGGUUCUGGAACGUGGCUCUUCGGAGUGUUAUAGCCAGGGCCAGAUGCUGCGUGCGGGGACCGAGGACUGCGGCCGUGUAGGUCACGGAUGCUGGCAGAACGGCGCAACACCGCCCGUCUUGACCCACGGACCA
This 581-nucleotide ribosomal RNA is filed under the name Pichia kudriavzevii. RNAcentral's name for it is "partial large subunit ribosomal RNA". It matches the Rfam family "Eukaryotic large subunit ribosomal RNA", at positions 65 to 668 of the family's 3401-position model. The record is from RNAcentral. Lineage: Eukaryota; Fungi; Ascomycota; Pichiomycetes; Pichiales; Pichiaceae.